CAGUGUGCCUUUGCCUAGAUUUGUUUCCCAACUCGAGAAUAGGUUGUAUGUGGUGAGUGUUGUGCCCAAAGUCUUUGUCCCCCUCACACCCCUCGCCCAGGGUCGGGGACCAAGCUGCGGCGGCCUUGGUGAUCUGGGCUGGUAGGACAGGCAGGAGAGGAGCGCGUCAGUCCCGCUCCCCGCCAGGCGGUGGCACCAGUGUGCAGGCCAGGCCGGGCUCCGCGUGGCUAUCGCAGUUCAGCAGCUGCAGCCCAGCCAGGCUUCUCAAGACCCCACCUGAAGAAGCACCCGUUCUGGGCAUUACCCGAAAACAAUGUCUGAGACUCCCCGGUUUUGCCCAUAACUGCAUUGUCCUGUGGAUGCCCAGUGGAACCCAUGGUGAGAACCCAAGGGUCAGGCUGAAUAGGCCAUGCUCCUCUGUGGUAAGCACUUGCCUUCCUAAACCACUGUCCUACCUGCUGCCCCAGUGGCUCUGCCAGCCUGUGUGUCUCCACAGGCUGUGGGGAGGGAGGUGCAGGGGGGUGGGCUCUGCCCAGGCUUCUCGCCUUGCUCCUGCCUAGUGUGGCUCUGCAGGGUGAGCCUACUCUUCUUAGGAUACCUUCUGGUUUUGGUGGUGAGAGACAAGUGUCAUUCUUGGCACACAACAGCACCUCAGGAUGCCUGGUAAAACAUGAUGAGUUUUGCCAGCAGGAUGGGUGAGCUGUGCCUGGCUGGGCUGGCCUGCUCGCUUUCUUCAUUCAGGGUCUCUGAAUGACAGGUUCCCAGCACCCACAUCUUGGGGCCACGGGGGGACGGGGCUUGCCAUCUUUCCCCUGCUGUUUGGUGAAAGGCCGAGACUGUCAGUGCUCCCUGCCAGGCCAGUACUCCUCCUCUGGGAGCCUGUGUCCCUGACCAGAGGAGGGUGGGAGGCAGUACCCCGGAAUAGAAAGGGCUUGGGGGUUAGGAGCGAGAGGCUGAGGGGCUGGCCUUGUUGGGCUCUUUACCCACUGCAGGGUUUUUACAAAGUCCUGCAGGUUAAGGUAUGAACCUUGGUUUCCUAUUAUAAAACAAAGAUGUCCACCCCAUGGUGACUUAUUCAUGGUAUGAAGCUAUGAGGUACAAGGACUGUGACAAUAAUGAUAACCGAGACUGCUGCUGAUCAAUGUUUGCGAAGGCAGCUCCUGUGUGUGGGUCUUUACAUUUGUGAAUCAUGCACAGGGCGUAGGUAUGAGCUGUCUACAUGCUGAAGAGCACAAUGUCACUGAGAGUGGGGUGGUGAUGAAUGCUGUCCUGGGCUCCCUAGACCUGGAUGAGCCCCACAGCAACCCCAAGCCUGUACGACCUAGACAAGUCUGCCUCCUCUCUGGUGCUCAUGCUUUGUUAUGGAGGAGGUUGGUUCAGAUGACCUGUAAGGGUCCAUCCCAUGAAGUGGCCUUGGGAGAGUCAACAUCAGGAACCUGCCAGGGAU
Molecule: long non-coding RNA, 1447 nt
Filed under: Callithrix jacchus (white-tufted-ear marmoset)
Lineage: Eukaryota; Metazoa; Chordata; Mammalia; Primates; Cebidae
Description: lncRNA (ENSCJAG00000070714.1)
Source: RNAcentral